Non-coding RNA from Tetranychus urticae (two-spotted spider mite), 4385 nucleotides. The record is from RefSeq and is a predicted model, not a curated record. Lineage: Eukaryota; Metazoa; Arthropoda; Arachnida; Trombidiformes; Tetranychidae.
GAAGGAAAGAUGAGUAAAGAGACAAAAAGGAUCUUUAAAGUGUCGAGGAUAAUCAGUUUAUCAGUUGCGAUCUGGAUUUUGUUAAAUGAUACAAAUCAUUUAAGCUAAAGAAUGUUAACCGCUAAAUUAACUAACCAAUGAAUGUUGACAAAUGAGAUCACAUGUUGGCGCCAUUGCCUAAAAUUGUCGAGACAAUAAAGAUGUGUUAACUGGUUUCUUCCAACAAACUAAUUUGCCUUGUUUUUCCCAUGUUAUUUGUCUUGUUUUUGUCUUGUUUUAUUAAUCAUCUCUUAAAUCUGAUUCAUCCAUUAAUCGUUUAUCAAAAUGGUUAGUUAUUAAGUUCAAAUUAGUUAAUUUGAUGUCCCAUUACCAAUGAAUGGAAUCCAGCAAGAACGGAUCAAUAAAAUUCCAUGUCAUGCAUUAUUAUCUAAAGACACGAAUUUGCUGCUUUAAUGUUUCAAAAUUCAUCAUUUUCAUCGUGAGUUAUGGAUGGGCUUUUAAAUGGAAAGAGGACAAGAUUGCGUUGGCCGGUGUUUUUGAGGAAAAAUGAACUGGUUACUUGAAUGGCCAUAAAUUACCUUGUUAAAAGUGUAAAAAAGGGUUAGCCCACCAUGAAAUUUUUUGAUUUACUUGAACAAGAUGCUCUCUCAUCAGCCUGAUAAUUGCUCUUUUGGUUUCAAUAUGAUUGGUUUAAAGGGGGUAAUUUCCAAAUCAUAAAAACCAUUUGAUGACUGUGAUUAUGGCUAGUCUUACAUCUUUAUUAAGUUUUCAUUUAUCUGGAAUCAUCAACACAAGAUUUACAGAUUCAUGUCAACUUCUGAUUUUCUGAUUCUCUUUUCUUCCCUCUAAAUACACGAUUAUUUUGCUCCAUCGAUACAAUCAUUGUACAAUCAUCUUUAUGAAUCCAUACAAGUCAAAAUUGAUAAAAAUUUUGCUUGUUAACUAGUUCAAGGAUCUGUUUAUAAGCAAAGUUUGAAACGCAUAAACUUUCAUCUAGCUAAUAUUUCAAUCUUAGAUUAGAUCCUGGAUAAAUUUAUUGACAUUAUGAGGCUAUUAGUAAAUUGCAGUGGGCAAUUUGCUAGCAAUUUUCUCAACUUAGGGCCAAAGUUAUGAUAGACAAUGAUUGUAGAGGGAAAGAACGCGCUCAAGAGAGUGCUGCUUCAUCUACUUGGAAAUUAAUUUGUUUGGAUUGGACUUAAAAAAACAUUGGCAUGGUUGAUUGCCUUUGGGCACAUCAUCAGAGAAAUUAUUAAAUGACAGUGAUUUCUUUAGGUUGUUGAUAAGAUGAGCAAACUAACCAUGGUGAUCUUGUUAAAAGAAAAGAAUGAUAGCCAAAGGAAUAAGUCAGGAAAAUCUCAAAUUGGAAAAGGCAAUAAGUGCAAGGAGAAGAAAGAAAAAAAACAACAAAUCAACACAAAAAAAGCUGCGAUGAUAAGAAAAACAUUUUCAUUGGUGUUUAUAAUUGUUGGUGUCCAGCGAAAGGAAAACAAGCAUACACGGAUUACACAUUUAACAGCUUUAAGUUACAACAUGGUCGAUGAAAUUAUUUUGUUGUAACAAAAAUUACAUCCCCAAAAAGUAUUCUGAUGACGGUGAUUGCUGCUGACGAUAAAAGAUAAUGAUGAUGGCCAUGAUGGCCAUGAUGAUGAUAAUGAUGAUUUGAGAUCAGAGAAGGCGAAUGUUAGAGUAAAUUGAAAAGUGAAAACAAGCCCAAUUUAAAACAAUUUUCAACCUUGCUCUUCCUCCUCACUCAAUAACUUUCAGCCUAUUCAUUUUGUUUGCUUUUUUUCUUGAGAGAGCGAUUGAUAGGAUGGAUUGUUUGUUUACAUCCAUGAUGAAAAGAGAAUAAAAGGAUGAGAGAAAAUUGUGUGAGCCAUCAUCUCAAGUUGAUCUCUCAGAAGGGAUUUCAAUUUUCUUUGUGAGAAAUGAUAAACAGAGAGCAGAAAAGCAUAUUUUCUCAGACUAAAUCUUUCACAGAUUGGAAAGAAGAAAUGGAUUUAAGUAUUGGACGACAAGAUUGGAGUGAAAUAAUUCAAAGGACAUCAUCAGAAAUAUUAUCAAAAAAUAUCCAGAUAAACUCACAAGCUCUUUCUCUCACUCACACACAUGGUAAAGAAAGGAAUGGAAAUAGAAUGGAAAAUGUUGAUUGGAAAGAAAAGGAGAAAAAGAAAGGUGCAAGGAUGAAGUUAAUAUCUCUUGUUCAUGGCUUGAUCAGUUCAUCACAAUAGCAAUAAGAUGGUGAAAGAAGUGAUGAGGAUGAAAGCAAAAGAGGAGCGAUUUUUGCUUUUAACAAAAAAACUGUUGACUCGUCUUACAUGAAACAACAAAAAACCACAGUAACACCAAGGAUCAACAAUAAAAGCCCCAUAACAUCAACAGAAUCAUCAGCUAGCAACGUAAAUAUUUUCUCGGUGAUUUUUUUCUCGCUCUUUGUUCCUCAAACUUUAUUACUAAAGAAUUAAGUUUUCAAUGUAUGAAAAGGAAGGAAAAAAAGGAUUCAAAGAUUGAAUAGAUUAUCAUCCCAUGAACAAGUUACUUACGGUAACUGAUUAUUCUGGUUAAUAUACAAUUUUUCAGGUAGCUACUCUUGAUCUAUUAACUGGUAAUAAUCAAUUAAAUCCUUCACCAAGAGUUACAAUUUAGCUGUUUAUAAUUAAAUUAGCUAAAAUGUUUCCUCGUCAUAACCGGCUUUGAUAGUCUUUUUUUUAUCAAUAAACUCAAUCAUUGUUAUUCAGGGAUUCAUUCGUAAUAGGAAAUUGUAAAGAUGAUGAUGAAUUCAUUAUUUGCUUUUGAUAUUUUACCCUUUUCAAUUAAACAAACUCUACCUAAAUCAACAGUAAAUGUUGCUAUAAAUGUAAUUCCUGUUGCCACAGAAUAUAAUUAUUUAUAUAAAAAACGCAAGAUCUGAACGUGAUUCCGGAGUUAAAUGGAUAAUUGAGUCAAAUGAAAUCUUGGCUGUUCCCUGCUUGAAUCUGGAAAUAAUCAAAAGUUGAAAUUCUGAAAGCUCACAUGAUGAAUUAUGUAUUCGCUUUGGUUUUGAAUUUUACACUAUUUUUUUCUCAAUGGCCAGUCUAUUGGUCUGUUUAUUAUGCUGUUACAUGAAUAUUACUGAUUUGAUAUCCAACAAGUAAUGAAAGGCUAAACAAUUUAUUUUCCAAUCAAGGAAUAUGCAUUUGGAUGAACACGAAAAAGCCCAGUGAAAAGGUCAUCUUCAAUUAAUGGGAGCUUCUCAAGAUAUUCAACAGAAACCAAGCAGCCACAAUUGUCCAAUGAACCUUAAAGGCAAGAUAACUGUAAACAAGAUGAGAGAGUUGACCUUAACUGUUGACUGGCAAUAAUGCAGGCAGAGAGAGGCUUUAGCUGAUGUCAUAUUAAAUUAUGGUCUCAAUUUGUAUUCAAUUAAGUUACGCUUUUGGUUCUGGUCAACCAAAGUUACCAGGGAAACAUUAUCAAGAGUAACAGUGUCCAAUGAUGAUGAGUUUACUAAUGUGAAAUUGACCACAUUUUUUUGCACUCACAGUUUAACGUGUGCAUACAUCUUAACAACUCUAAGACCUCACGUGAAGUUAAUUUAAGGAUGCUCAUUUCACGUUAAGUUUCAUUGAGUCUUUGUAGUGGAUAAGAGGACUAAAGAUGCAAAGUGAAAGGGGCAAUUGGAGUGUCUUCGGUCAAGGGUGAAUAGUUCAUUUGAUAUGCUCUAUGAAACAACAAGGAAAAAAUUGGAGGCCAAAAAAGAAGGAGGAGAUGCUGAUAAUUCUUCUUGUCAUGGAGAAAAUGAAGUCUGAUGAUGAAGAAGAAAACAAAAAAAAACAUUGGACAAUGAAUAGAAGAUUAUUAAGACUCUCUUGUAAGUGUUUGGAGAGGUUAAAAGAGCAAAAGAGAUAUGUUGAAGAGAAGGAAAAAAGUAGAAGGAGAAGAAGAAGAAAAGGCUGAUGGUAAAAGCAAAAAAGGAACCCAAAAAAGAAAAGGCGAAACUUCAUUUGUUUCUUAUUACCAGACGAUUAAUCAAAAGGCGAUAAUAAAAUUGGUAAGCUGAACAAGCUCAUUGAAAGACAGCAAUCAAGCGUUCCUUUGAAUUGUCAGCUUCUAUGGACAGGAAAUGGAAAUGAGAUUUUACCAUGAAAAAUAUCAAUCAUUUAAAGAUGGUGAAAUGGAAGAAAGAUAAAAGAGAAGCGUCUAAAGGAAUGGGAAAAAAAGUUAUCAACAAUGAAACUGUUUCAUGUUUCAUGUUCCAUAUCAUUGAGAUACUUGUUAAUUUUGCGGUAAAUGCAAGUGUAUUUGAGUGAAUAUUAUACACUGGAAGAGACAUUGAAAAGACUGAACACUUUAUUGAAAUAAUAGCAGCAGCAGCAGUAGCUACAAUAACUACAGUAAGAUGGUGAUGA